GACGAACGCUGGCGGCGUGCCUAAUACAUGCAAGUUGAGCGCUGAAGGUUGGUACUUGUACCAACUGGAUGAGCAGCGAACGGGUGAGUAACGCGUGGGGAAUCUGCCUUUGAGCGGGGGACAACAUUUGGAAACGAAUGCUAAUACCGCAUAAAAACUUUAAACACAAGUUUUAAGUUUGAAAGAUGCAAUUGCAUCACUCAAAGAUGAUCCCGCGUUGUAUUAGCUAGUUGGUGAGGUAAAGGCUCACCAAGGCGAUGAUACAUAGCCGACCUGAGAGGGUGAUGGGCCAAAUUGGGACUGAGACACGGCCCAAACUCCUACGGGAGGCAGCAGUAGGGAAUCUUCGGCAAUGGACGAAAGUCUGACCGAGCAACGCCGCGUGAGUGAAGAAGGUUUUCGGAUCGUAAAACUCUGUUGGUAGAGAAGAACGUUGGUGAGAGUGGAAAGCUCAUCAAGUGACGGUAACUACCCAGAAAGGGACGGCUAACUACGUG
Molecule: ribosomal RNA, 497 nt
Filed under: uncultured bacterium
Lineage: Bacteria
Description: partial 16S ribosomal RNA
Rfam family: Bacterial small subunit ribosomal RNA
Source: RNAcentral